This is a long non-coding RNA of Girardinichthys multiradiatus, 521 nucleotides long. RefSeq lists it as uncharacterized. Lineage: Eukaryota; Metazoa; Chordata; Actinopteri; Cyprinodontiformes; Goodeidae. The transcript is spliced from 2 exons. The record is from RefSeq and is a predicted model, not a curated record.
GUGUCAGCCCGUUGUGUUCACCUAGUAGUAAAAGACUCAACCUCUGCUCUAAUGCAGUUUGUUUUUUUUCCCCUGUUCUACAGAUCUUGCCCAGUCGGGGUUCUCAUGGAGUAACCUGCGCCUGCUUAUCCCCGAGUCGUGUCUUAAGGAGAGUGGAAACCCAGAAACGCGACGCCUUCAGACUCAUGGUCCUUGCUCUCUACCUCCAAGCCCAUCCUCUCAAGUAGAACCAUCGGACCCAACUCAGAGGAAUAUACACCUGCCUGUCCACCCUCCAUCGUUCGCCUCAAGUCGCAGCGGAGUUUUUUCCCCGCGGAAGAAAGGACAGUUUUCUAACUGGAGAUCACAGGAACUAGUCGGCUCACUGCCUGCCAACCACAGAUGCUGUGGGGAAGGACUUAUUCCCCCUACCUCCUUACCCAGCCUCUCACUCAAUAACUCCAGUAUUGACCCGCUUACCCAGUUCCUGGUUCCCGUUCAUCCUAGCAUCUACUGUUUGAAAAUAAACUGUUUCAAAACUU